Molecule: ribosomal RNA, 484 nt
Filed under: uncultured bacterium
Lineage: Bacteria
Description: partial 16S ribosomal RNA
Rfam family: Bacterial small subunit ribosomal RNA
Source: RNAcentral
AUUGAACGCUGGCGGCAUGCUUUACACAUGCAAGUCGAACGGCAGCGCGGGCUUCGGCCUGGCGGCGAGUGGCGAACGGGUGAGUAAUGCAUCGGAACGUGCCCAGUAGUGGGGGAUAGCCCGGCGAAAGCCGGAUUAAUACCGCAUACGACCUGAGGGUGAAAGCGGGGGACCGAAAGGCCUCGCGCUAUUGGAGCGGCCGAUGUCGGAUUAGCUAGUUGGUGGGGUAAAGGCUUACCAAGGCGACGAUCCGUAGAUGGUCUGAGAGGACGACCAGCCACACGGGGAGUGAGCCACGGACCAGACUCCUACGGGAGGCAGCAGUGGGGAAUGUUGGACAAUGGGGGCAACCCUGAUACAGCCAUGCCGCGUGCGAGAAGAAGGCCUCCGGGUUGUAAAGCGGUUUUGUUCGGGAAGAAACCCUCUGGGCUAAUACCCCGGGGGGAUGACGGUACCGGAAGAAUAAGCACCGGCUAACUACGUG